This 224-nucleotide small RNA is filed under the name Arabidopsis thaliana (thale cress). Its description in RNAcentral is "ATSL291920". Lineage: Eukaryota; Viridiplantae; Streptophyta; Magnoliopsida; Brassicales; Brassicaceae. The record is from RNAcentral.
AUUUUUAAUCUGUCUAUCACAUUGUUAUCUGACUUUUAUUUAUCAUCAAAAUGAUGAUGUAGUUUAUACAAAGAGAUCCAUAUAUCCGUAUAUUAAAAACUGAACUCACAUUAUUGGGAUAUAGAAAACCCGUAUAAAGAACCGAAGAUCGACGGUCAAGAGGAUAAGACGAAAAUAUGACAAAAAUAUAUUGUUAAUAUUGAAGUUUAGAAUAUUUAGCAUUA